UGGUGGGGUGACUUGUCUGCUUAAUUGCGAUAACGAACGAGACCUUAACCUGCUAAAUAGCCCGCAUUGCUCCCGGCAGUGCGCUGGCUUCUUAGAGGGACUUUCGGCUCAAGCCGAAGGAAGUUUGAGGCAAUAACA
This 138-nucleotide ribosomal RNA is filed under the name uncultured eukaryote. RNAcentral's name for it is "partial 18S ribosomal RNA". It matches the Rfam family "Eukaryotic small subunit ribosomal RNA", at positions 1299 to 1458 of the family's 1831-position model. The record is from RNAcentral.